Molecule: transfer RNA, 73 nt
Rfam family: tRNA
About the family: Transfer RNA (tRNA) molecules are approximately 80 nucleotides in length.
GCCCGGGUAGCUCAGUUGGUAGAGCAGCGGACUGAAAAUCCGCGUGUCGGUGGUUCGAGUCCGCCCCCGGGCA